AAAGCGAGCGGCGGAUGGGUGAGUAACACGUGGGGAACCUGCCCCAUAGUCUGGGAUACCACUUGGAAACAGGUGCUAAUACCGGAUAAGAAAGCAGAUCGCAUGAUCAGCUUUUAAAAGGCGGCGUAAGCUGUCGCUAUGGGAUGGCCCCGCGGUGCAUUAGCUAGUUGGUAAGGUAAAGGCUUACCAAGGCGAUGAUGCAUAGCCGAGUUGAGAGACUGAUCGGCCACAUUGGGACUGAGACACGGCCCAAACUCCUACGGGAGGCAGCAGUAGGGAAUCUUCCACAAUGGACGCAAGUCUGAUGGAGCAACGCCGCGUGAGUGAAGAAGGUUUUCGGAUCGUAAAGCUCUGUUGUUGGUGAAGAAGGAUAGAGGUAGUAACUGGCCUUUAUUUGACGGUAAUCAACCAGAAAGUCACGGCUAACUACGUGCCAGCAGCCGCGGUAAUACGUAGGUGGCAAGCGUUGUCCGGAUUUAUUGGGCGUAAAGCGAGCGCAGGCGGAAGAAUAAGUCUGAUGUGAAAGCCCUCGGCUUAACCGAGGAACUGCAUCGGAAACUGUUUUUCUUGAGUGCAGAAGAGGAGAGUGGAACUCCAUGUGUAGCGGUGGAAUGCGUAGAUAUAUGGAAGAACACCAGUGGCGAAGGCGGCUCUCUGGUCUGCAACUGACGCUGAGGCUCGAAAGCAUGGGUAGCGAACAGGAUUAGAUACCCUGGUAGUCCAUGCCGUAAACGAUGAGUGCUAAGUGUUGGGAGGUUU
RNAcentral lists this ribosomal RNA (759 nucleotides) under uncultured bacterium. Its description in RNAcentral is "bacterial SSU rRNA". It matches the Rfam family "Bacterial small subunit ribosomal RNA", at positions 88 to 833 of the family's 1533-position model. The record is from RNAcentral.